This 497-nucleotide ribosomal RNA is filed under the name uncultured bacterium. RNAcentral's name for it is "partial 16S ribosomal RNA". It matches the Rfam family "Bacterial small subunit ribosomal RNA", at positions 28 to 507 of the family's 1533-position model. The record is from RNAcentral.
GAUGAACGCUGGCGGCGUGCCUAAUACAUGCAAGUCGAGCGAACAGAUGAGGAGCUUGCUCCUCUGACGUUAGCGGCGGACGGGUGAGUAACACGUGGAUAACCUACCUAUAAGACUGGGAUAACUUCGGGAAACCGGAGCUAAUACCGGAUAAUAUAUUGAACCGCAUGGUUCAAUAGUGAAAGACGGUUUUGCUGUCACUUAUAGAUGGAUCCGCGCCGCAUUAGCUAGUUGGUAAGGUAACGGCUUACCAAGGCAACGAUGCGUAGCCGACCUGAGAGGGUGAACGGCCACACUGGGACUGAGCCACGGUCCAGACUCCUACGGGAGGCAGCAGUAGGGAAUCGUCCGCAAUGGGCGAAAGCCUGACGGAGCAACGCCGCGUGAGUGAUGAAGGUCUUCGGAUCGUAAAACUCUGUUAUUAGGGAAGAACAAAUGUGUAAGUAACUAUGCACGUCUUGACGGUACCUAAUCAGAAAGCCACGGCUAACUACGUG